Molecule: transfer RNA, 70 nt
Filed under: Marmota monax (woodchuck)
Lineage: Eukaryota; Metazoa; Chordata; Mammalia; Rodentia; Sciuridae
Description: tRNA.Ala
Source: RNAcentral
GGGGUUGUGGCUCAAUGGUAGAGCACUGCCUAGCAUGUGUGAGGCUCUGGGUUCGGUCCUCAGCACCACA